This 781-nucleotide non-coding RNA is filed under the name Epuraea sp. Lineage: Eukaryota; Metazoa; Arthropoda; Insecta; Coleoptera; Nitidulidae. The record is from RNAcentral.
AUAAAGUUUUAUUCUGAUUUAAAUGUUAAAUUAAAUUUUUAGUUAUAUGUUAAUAUUAGUGUGGGGGAAUAUUAUUUCUUAAAAAGUUAUAAUAUACAUUAUAUUCGCAGUAAAUAGAAUUAAAUAUUAAGGAAAUUUAGAUUUAGAAUUAAUUUUUAGUAUUGGCAAAAUUUGUGCCAGCAGUUGCGGUUAUACAAAUAAUGCAAUUUAAUAUUAUCGGUUUUAAUUAGUUUGAUAAUAAAAGAAUUGAAUAUUUAAAUUUAUUGGGUGAAAUCUGAAGUUUAAGCCAAAAUUAAUUGGGGGGUUAAUGAGGUUAAGAAAUUUAUUAAAUAAACUAGGAUUAGAUACCCUAUUAUAGUAAGCGUAAAAUUUUAAGCUUAGUUACUAUUAGUUAUUUUCUUUAAAAUUAAAGAUUUUGGCGGUAUUUUAGUCUAUUUAGAGGAACCUGUCCUAUAAUCGAUAUUCCACGAUUAAAUUUAUCAAAAUUUUAAAUUUAUAUAUCGUCGUAAUUGAAUAUUUUAUAAGAAUUUAAAUAUUCAAGAUUUUUAAUAUGAAAAUAAAUCAGAUCAAGGUAUAGUUAAUAUUUUGGUUGUGGUGGGUUACAUUGAGGUUAUUAUGGAUAAAAAAUUUUAAAUUUUUUUGAAAUUGGAUUUAAAAGUAAUUUUUAAAUAUUUAAAAAAUGAUUUAAGCUCUAAAAUAUGUACAUAUCGCCCGUCGCUUUCAUUUAAAGUGAAAUAAGUCGUAACAAAGUAGUUUUACUGGAAAGUGGGUCUAGAAUUAG